Long non-coding RNA from Anas platyrhynchos (mallard), 13847 nucleotides. RefSeq lists it as uncharacterized. NCBI's taxonomy places the organism in Eukaryota, Metazoa, Chordata, Aves, Anseriformes, Anatidae. The record is from RefSeq and is a predicted model, not a curated record.
CUCUUCAAAUUCUUCUUUCUCCAUUUCUCUUAAGUGUAUCACUUACAGAAUGUGAAGGUGCCACUUUCAGUAGAGAGGUUAUGUCUGUGACCUUUUUAUUAUGCUUUGAAAUUAAUUUGAGCAUUGGAAAAGAAGAAAAGCCUACAAAGCAACCCUCCAGAAGAACUUUGUUCCCCUCAGGCAGUUGUUCAGUGUAGCAAAUACAAGGAAGUAGGGAAAGCAGGGGAAAUGUGACGCUUUUUUCCUUGGCAUGAAUUCUUUAAGAUACUUACUCUCAGGCCUACAUGAUCUUGUUUGCUGGUGCCACAGAAGAUGACAGAAAUAACUGCUGAGAGCAAAAUGAAAAGUGUUUUAGAAUUACGGGGUGGCAGAAAUCUAUGGCAAUUUGUAGUACCUUUUUCUGAUAAAGCCACAAAUGAAAUUCACAUCUGGAGCUCGUGGAGGUUUAAAUGCCAGAACAAUUGCAGUGCCUUGGAAUUCCACGUGAGGGCAAUUACCAGCUCUGUGUGUGUAUUUGGGAACAAGUCUCAGUGCUGUUGCCAGAUGGCAGAACUAGCUUUUGAAAGGUUUGUCUAGCUACAGUUGUCCUCGUGAAUAAGUGGGACUCCUUGAUUAAAGGGCUGCUGCUUGGAGGCAGUAACUAAAGCUAAACGUUUUUAGGGGAGGCAGCUGAAAGAGCUUAUUUUUGAUGUUAUGCUUGUAUCUUUUUUUUUCUUUCUGAAGCCGGGACCAAGAAUAAGAACCUUACAUGCUUGUCCUCUGCAGAUGUUUGUGGUGGCAGUAUUAAGUUGAUAGAUGACUUUUCCUUAGGCCCAAGGGCUGAGAUGCAUCACUGCACCAUUGUGAGGCCUCUGCUAAUUAAGGCCGCAGAGGCUGCAUAAACUGGCUCUGUCAAGAAGUGGCUGGGAUCUGCCCUGGGGCAUUUGGUCCACUGAGGAAGUUGCCCCUUAAGUUAUAAAAGGAUAACAGUAGUAUGAUCCCCAGAUAAAAAGGGCUUUGCAAGGAUCAUGUUUGCCUUCUCCCUCACCAGUGGUGUCUUGUCUGCUCUCUGCUGGCUAUUGCAUGCUGAACUAAGUAAGACUGAUGAGGAGAGAGAUAUAUUUGACAGUUAUCUACAGCUAGAAACCUGUGAAGGUGUGUAAGAGUGAGAAACUGAUGAUUCCACCAGGAGGCAAGGCUGCAUGGGUCAUCUGUGACACAGGAUUCCUGUAGCUGCCUCUCAGGUCUGAGAGUCUUCUGAACCUCAGCUGUGCUUUGGAGCAUUUAGUUUUUGUCUGAUAGGAAGUGUGUUUCUUGGAGACGGAGGAGAGAAUGGAGGAGGAAAAGAAAGGAUUUGUGGAACUGAGUAAAAUCUUCAACUCAAUAUCGUGGUAACUGGCACAAAAUAUGCAAGUAUAUUACAGAGUAAAAAGGAUAUGAUAUCUGUUAAGAUGUAAUGAACCUAAGAAAUGAAAAACGUGGUAUGACUGAUUUAAAAACUACAUAGCAGUUGACUGUUGCUGGCACAAUAAAAGUUGGGGAAAACUUGUGAAUGCGAGGGCAAGAAAAAAUUUCUCAUAAGACUUGAUUAAAAUUUUAGCAACAGCGUAGGCACAUCAGUGAUUUUACCUUCCAGAAAGAUACAGAAAAAAAUGAAUGAAUAUUUCAUACGGUGUUUGGGGGUGAAGAAGUAUGAUCCUCUUGUGCAAUACGUGACAUACCAAGGUCUCCCAGGGCACCUAGCUGGCUGUGGGGAUGUGGUUGUCAAACAGCAUCUGGUAGCAGCAAGCAGCCAAGGAUCACUGGGAGAGGUGGCUGAGGGGCCUGGGGGUGGUAGGAACUCUCCAGCAGGUGGGGAGAGGGCAGCUCUGCAGGGAGGUAGAGAGGAAGAACAAGGUAAGAGUGGGCAGUGCUUUGUCUCAGCUCAGUUUGAGCUGACAAUACUGAAGGAAGUAUCAGUUAUUCCUACCUCUGCCUGGCGUUAGCCAAAAAUGAGCUAUGAAGAACAAAGCAGUGCAGUGCUCUGCAAAGUCUGUAGAGCAUUUUGGUGUAUGGCAUGCAGAGUUCCCUAAUCUGUAUCGUGGUUUAUGAACAAGGAGCACUGGGGACAGAAAGUCUCUUCAGCUGUUCUGGUGUUCACUUCCCAGUCUUGGCAUUUGCUGAUGGUGAAUCCUAAUUAAAUGGGGUCUGUGAGAAUGCCUAAUAGGGCUGAUGAUCCACGCUGCCAUCAGAGAUCCGGAGUUGAUACGGGGUUGCUGUGGAGAGAAACUGAGGGUAAGCCAUAGAUUGACAAGAUGAUAAAUAAAGCAAACACUGCCUUACAGAGUGCUUUGGGUCUGUUUCCUAGCUUGAACUGAUGCCAAUGCAGUGGGUUCUUAAUGACCCGACUGCAGAGUUACAAGUCUCUGCGCUGAAAGCUCUGGUCUUACCUUCUUUAUCAAGACUGAUGUCUGGAAAGAACUAGCUUGGAGUGCAAUUCUAGGGGCACAGUGGGCAGGUAAUUUGGCAAGGGCUUGCCAAUGUCAUGCUUGGCCCCAAAGGAUGAUGUGGGGGUAAAAAAUGAGGUGGUAACUGGAGUGGUUUGCUGCCUCAGUCCUGCAGCAUUCAGGAAAAAGGCUUCAGAAUAGCGGCUUUAGUAUGGAAAAUGAGAGAAAAGAAUGGAGAAUGGAAGCUACUGAAAUGUUUUUGAAAACUGAAGGCGAAGCAAACUCCAUCUGUUCAGUUUACUGAGUAGAGACUGAAAGGGGACUGUUGAAUUUUCUCAAAGGGGAAUUUUGACAUAGUAAAAGAUGUAUAUAAUGUAAAUAAAGGGCUGCAAGAGAAGUCCGCAGAGACUGAAAUAAAAUUCCUGAGUGUGUUUUUUAACUUUUUUGAUUGACUAUUGGAAGUUAUCCAGGGAAGUGAAGGAUUCCCUGUUUCUUGAUGCCUUUUUAAACCAUGGGUUUUUAUGAUGUGUUAUCCUUGGAGGGGGAAAUCAUCAGCCAUAUGAGGCAGGAAUGGAAGGAGAUGGGGUCUCCAGAAGGUUGGUGUAGCCCCUUGGUUUGUAAGUGCUGUGAAUCCUAGCUAGGAUUUCAUCCAUCCUGCUCUUGUGGUAAGAGUCCUGGGACGUUGCUGUGUUCCUGGGGCUCCGUGUGAAGAUGGAAGUUGCUGCAGCACAGGUUAGUGAUGGCUCAGAGCUGGUAGGUCCCACAAGCAGAGCAGUUCUGUGGAACCUUGGAGGAACUGAUUGCCUGGAUGCCAUGAAAUAAUGGAUAAGAUUUGAAUGGAGAAGAUUUAAAAAGAGGGAAAAAAAACCCACAACACACAAAGCCAAACAUAAAUAUGUUGGCUUACUGCUCACUUUCUUAUCCUGUGCCUCGUUAACCAUUAAUCCUGUACAAACCGCUUACUGCCCUGCCCCGUAUUGAUACUGAAGCUGAAUGCUGCCAGCCUGGUCCUUAUCUGCUGUCAGGCUCCGCUUUCAGGGGUCACAACAGUCCCCAGAGGGGGUCAGGAGCAGCUUGGUGGGAGACGGGCAGCCUUCUCUUUGCCUGGCACGUGGGAGGUGGGGAAGGAGAGGCAGGCAGUGAAAAAUGCAUUGUAAGGGUGCUGCGGAGAUCCUGCACGGGAGCGAGCUGGGCCAGCACGAAGCUAUUUAUACCGCAGCAGUGUGUCUGUCGCCGUGCCAAGAGCUCCAACGGGUGGAACCAUAACGAUGGCACUGGGUUGGUUUGGAAAUAAGCAAGUGCUGGCACGCUGCAGCUGCCCAGGAGGAAGGGGUGGAAAGCAGGCGGGAGAAUAGGAUGUGAUGAGGGCUUUUAUGCAUCUGUAGUUCAAAGGUGAACGACGAGAGGAGAAAGCUGCUUUGUUUAGCUUGCGAUAAGCUCUGUUUUGAAAGUCACUUGUCUGCUCUCUUCCUGACAGCACACACGUGCCCUGGAUGUGAGGUUUGGUUCCUGACCAUUAUCGGGAUGUUUUGGUGGGUGUCCCCGGUGGACUUGCAGCUUUUGGGUGGUGCUGAAGAGGCGGCCCUGUCCCCAGCACCCCGGGAGGGCAGCUCAGGGCUGCCAGCUGGGUCCCCUGCUCUUCUGCUUGACCUGCUGACGGAUCAGUGCUCCAGCUUCGGGCACUCCCCAGCCCUCCCUCUGUUAUCCUGCCUGUGGGACUGUUCCUGCCUCACCCUACGCCUGCUUUGGCGUGCCUGGGGAGACCGCAGGCAGCCCCCUGUUCCCCGGGCAGUGUGGUGGAUGUGCCCAAGGCUCCUGAGGAUGAAGGCAAGCCGGUCACGCUGAGCAGCAGGUGCUCCAGCACCCUCACCAUGCGCUCAGCCAAACCCCUGGCUGGGGACAAAAGGGGUUGGGGGGGCCUUAAACACGCUGCAAAACCCGAUCCUGGGAAGGCAGCAGUGCCAGCUGAGGCUCUGAUGGAGGAAGAAGUGCUGGUUGCCAUGGUUACUGGGGAUGUUAACCCUGUGGGGUGCGUUUUGGCAAGGGGAGGGACGUGUCCCUGCUCAGCAGCGGUGCCCCAGCCCUGCGAGCUCCAAGCUGGCCUCUGGGAGCUCAAAGCCUGGGUCCUGCCAGAGGCUGUGAGCGAGUGCUGGUUGUUAGCCUGCCUGCUGCUGCCUCGUGGGUGAGAGUUUUGGUAACCAUCCUCAGGUGCCACAAGGAAGUGGAUCCCAGAUUUCGGAGGGCUGGCUGCUGCUGAGCGACUGGAGGCUGUCUCGAGCUGUGGUUCGAGGGUUAAUCUGUGCAUAGAACAAGCUGUGGUUAUUCUUCCCUUUCUCUUUUAAGAGGAUGUGACACAAGCUUGAAAAUCACCUUAAUCUGGCUUUUCUAACCUAAAACAACAGAGUAGAGGACAGGGAAGUAUUUGUCUUAUCAAGGCGCUGAGCGUGGCUUUGAAAAGGCUCCACAUGCUCUGUGUUGGGUUUGUUUUCAGUGGGUAGCUUAGCCAAACGGCUCUAAGAAGGGCUUCUGCUUCCACGUAUCCUUUCCCCCUCGGCUCACUUAUUUUGGCCUGUGAAUUCAGCGUGGACACACGGCUCCGUUAGCUGCCAUCAUCAGGUCUCAUUUUCCUUAUUUCCUUGGAGCAUGGGGUGCGCUCACAAUAAGUGAAUGUGAGCGGAAAACCACAGAUGGGAGAGACGAGACUGGGAAAAGCAAUCUUAAAAAUUCCCUUUUAAAAAAUGAAACCUCUGUUUAACAGGGUGCAUUGGAAGUGGAAGGGAUUCGUGCUUCACAGGUACCCAGGAGCCAGCCCUGCAGCAGCCGGGAGGAGGAUGGAGUCCCACGUGUGUUCAGCAGCAGCAAAGCUUUGUCCCUCCUCUCCAAACACGGCGAGCGAGGUCUUUGAAAUGGCUGGAACUGUGGGUUUAAUGAUUUCCCCCCUUCCUUCCAAUCCUCCCUGCCUGAAGGGUUACAGCCCAGUGCUCUAGUUUAUAAGGCAACCCCACAGAAGGCUGGGUUGGCACUGAGAGCGCAGCCCCCUCGGCUCUGGGGUGGGAGAGUGGGAGCAGCUUGGGCUCUGCCACCAGCCAGCAAAGUCCUGCUGAACUCCCAGCCCAGCUCAGGCUUUUUUAUUUGGGGCUGGCUGGGUGCAGUGGUUUUGGAAGAUGGAGUGUGUGCAUUGUGCUUUUUUUUAUUUGGUGUUUUUCUUCUUGUUUGUGUCUGAUUUUUUUUUUUCUCCUUUUGAGAAUAAGAAAAAUGUUAGCCUUAAAAAUAGCUGCCAGGUAGAUCCAAAGCUUCCAGGUCUCUGAGGGGUGGACUUCAGGGGUUGUAAUUCUCGCCUGCAGCUCGAUGCUCACCUUUUCUUGCUUCCAGGGAAGACAGAAAGGAAACAAAACAACCAACACAAAAAUCCCACAAACAAUCCCCCACAAAAAAAAAAAGGCAAAGAAAAAGGCAAAAAACACUUCUGAUCCUUCUAUUUGUAUGUGCUCCUUCAUUCCCUUCCCUAGAAAUAUCAGCUUGGCUGUCCCAGUGACAGCAAAAAGGAUUAAUGGAAGAGCAGAAUUGGGUUUAUGUUUAUCCCUAAUCCAAAUUUCAUAUUAUGCAGCGAACCUGGCAGCUGUGAAGCUUGGAUGCAAAUGCCAUAGCUGAAGAAUACAACUCCGUGAAUCCAGAAAUGAGAUAACUGGUGUUUAAUUUAGGAUUCUGCUCGAGUGUAGCUACAGAAAUAAUACAGUCAUGGCCACUUCCACCAGAAGCUGCAGUUGCUGCACUUAAAAAAAAAAAAAAAAAAAAAAUAAAAAAAAAUGCUCAAAUAUGAAGGUAGGCAGUAUUUCAUUCUAGCUGAGGCAACUUUUGAUGCUUAAAGUGUCGAUAUUACCAACAGCAAAAAAAAAAAAAAAAAAAGGCUUCAAAGGCUCUGGGUGUAUCCCAGAAAUGGCUGAGUUGCCUCAAACUUCGCUGCAGUUCCCCUUUGUUUGUCAGCUGCUGUGCUCGUUGCUGUUGCAAUGCCGUGUGGAAAUCUCAGAGCAGCUCUUUCAUCAUUAUUACUGCAGGUUGAUAUUUCUGGAUCCGGGAUGCAUAUUUAAAUGAAAGCUGAGGCUUUAACCCUUUCACAGCAGGGGGUUUGUGUCUGAGCCAGGAAAGCAAUUCAGUUCAAAAGGACUAGCGUGUGUGUUUGGGAUGCGUUUCACCGAAGGUACAGACGACUUUUUCAAACAAAAAGAAAAAAAUAAAAGCCCAGAUUCCCCCAAACCCCCCAAAGAAGAGGAACGUGUUGGAGAGUAUCCAGGAAAAGGGCGUCUGAUCUAAGGUAGCUGCGUAAUCCUGGAGGAAUUUUUGCUGCUGUGCUGCGGGGGGGGCAGUCACCAGUUUCUUCAUGUGCCUUGUUCUCUCCUGCCACCUGUUUGUUCCUCUUUUUCACUGCAGUAUGAAACGGGCCCUCAAACGUGGCGAGAUGACCCAGUUUGAAAAUGCCAGCUGCCACCACAGUUGUGACUGCAGGGGCUGAACCAGAGCUGGCGCUCGGAAGAAGCACGAUGCGUUUUUUUUUUUUUUUAAGAGAAGUUCAGAGACGAGGUGACGAGGAUGUAAUGGAGUGAUGAUAGCGCUAUUAAGAGUCACCCUGGCAGCCAGCCUUGAUCUGAAAGGCGUUUGGGAGCAGUCCUAGGCAGGCUGAGAGGCGCUGUGUGAGCUGUAGGACCAGUGUAACGAGAAGCAGCAGGCUGCAGCUACGCCGGGCUGCCUGGCCCAGCCCUGGGCUGGGCUGAGUGUGCUCCAGCCUCUGAGCCUUUCGGUGCAGGUCUCUUUUCCUGACCUCAUGUCUCUUAUUGUAGCUUUGAGGGAAGAGUAAGAAGGGUGAGGAUCUGGAAGGUAACUGCUUGUUUUGUCCUGGAGGUGGCUGGUGAGCAAAAGCACCAACAGGAGCGUGUUGAUAGGGAUGUGAUGGGAGCUGUGCGCAGGCAGGGAGGAGCUCCUGUGGGAUACGUCUUUCCCUGAGGAAUGCUUGAGGACGUCACGGGCAUAAGGUUGCUGUGAUGAAUUCACCCUGCUGCUGAGUGUGACCUUUACAGAGGUGCUAGAGCAGGAGGCAGAGCCAGACUUUCUCAAGAACAUGUGCCAGAGCUUCCCUCUCCAUAAUGUUUGUUCUAGCAUUCUUUGCUCUAAUUAGGAACCACUCCUGCUAAUUAUUUUUCCUGUACUCUUAUUUUUGCCCUCCACAUGCAAGUUAUUUUCCAAUCAUAUGCUUCUCAUGCACUUUCACAUGGUGGUAGGGGUAGUUAUGAAUUUCCUAGCACGGCAAGCAUCGGAAGUAAUAAAUAAUAACCUAAGGAAGGUCUGGGCUUCUAAAUCCUGGCCGAAAGCAGCGGCCACAUACCAUGUUUUCAUGUUGUCUGGGGUACCAGGAAUUCCCCUUCGACUUAACCUGCAGCAGGCACUUGUUAGGUGCCUUCAUUCACGGCCUGCCUUAGUCCAGCAGCUGGCCUGUUCCUGCAGCACGCAAGGAUGGGAACUUUCAAGAGAUUGGGGCAGACAGCGGGGGGUUACAGCCACAGCCACCCUCAAGGUAAGUCACUCCCUCUAGGUUACGCAGUCCCUGUGCAUUGGAUGUGUUUGUCUCGUCUCUGUCCUGCUUCCUUCCAACGUGCUUGCACCCAGGGGACAAGGGAGCCUUUCCAAGCACAUCUGAGAUGUCAUUUGGGAUUCUCAGCACCCUGGUGCUGUAGUGCAAAGAGUGCUGCUGUCAAGAGGUCCUCCCCUUCUCAGAAGGGUCCAGUCCCAAACAUCUCAAAAUGCGUUUUUAACUGCAUAUGUAGAAGGAACAAAAGCAUCUCAGCAGUACUUAAGAAAAUACAAUGAAGAUUAGUUCACAUCCAUUAUCAAGCUGCCUUCACUUGGUCCCUCUCUUUAUUCAUUUAGUGUCACAACUUGUUCUCGAGUGCAGAACUCUUCUGGGUCACUGAGAAGCAGUCUGUGCUCCAGACCCUUUUCACUCACUUAGCGAGGGAGGCCAGCAGCAGCCAGCCAACCCCAACCCCACCAACCCCCUACAUUCAACCAAGAAGCACUGCUCCUGUGCCUGACCCCCUCACCAUCCCCGAGCAGAGCCUUCUGCUCCAGCUGCUGUGGAGCUAGAGGCUGCUGGCCGCACCUGGAGGGCUCUGCCCUGCCUGAGCAGCUCCGUGCUCAGCACAUUGCUGCCUCCCAGCAGCCGUGGGCAGCUCCGCAGUGUGACUCCGGCUUCUAUCCCCUCGCUGUCUGCUGGCCUGCCCCACGCGUCCUACCCGCCCGAGUGACAUUCUCCAAGGAGGUGGCUAAGGGACAAAUCGUUCAUUUCUCUGCCUUUUGUGUGCGUUAUAAAGGGGGUCAGCAUGGCUCCUGCUCUCUUGCGAUGGGUUUUAUUAUCAGUAACAAUAAUAACGAGCUGUAAUUUAGCCUGAUGGCCAUUCUGCUCCCACACACCCCUUCUGUGUGGGUGCCCCGGGUCGUGGCGUGGCAGAAUUACCCAUGCUGGUUAAGGAGCUUGGCUCUGCUGCAGAGCUUUAUUAGUUCGUGUUCCUAGCACAAUGGGAACGCAACGGUUCUGGGUUUAGACAAGAGCCUUCAAAAUCUUGUUGAGGGUGGGAAAUGAACCCCGUGGAAGGUUUCAUCCUCUUUACAGGGCUUUGUGUCUGGGUGUUCACUGGCAGCUUCGGAGGCUGGUUGACAGCAAGCUGCUUGAUCCGGCCUUUGAGCAGUCUGCUGACCCAGACUGGCUGCUCUGUGCUAGGUUUUUUGGUAGGUUUUUUGUUUGCUUUUGCGUAUGAGGUCGCUCCUUUCAUGAAUUACUUUAUUCACUUGCUCAGAAAGCUGCGUUUCCAUGCUGCUGGUGUAAUACAAAAUGAAUUUCAGCAGAUGCAGCGUGACAUGUGGAUGAGGAGUUGGGAAAUGUUCCUAGGUAUGAGACCUAGGAUGAACCUUGCAUGAGACUGCUAGUCUGAGUCUGUUUCCCCACACUGACUCUGUUGUUAGUGUGUCAAACUUUUUUUUUUUUUUUCCAAAGUAGUGAAUGAAGAAAGGCUGAGAGAGCUGGGGCUGUUCAGCCUGGAGAAGAGAAGGCUCUGGGGAGACCUCACGGCAGCUUUUCAGUACUUAAAGGGGGCUUAUAAAAAAGAUGGAGAGCAACUUUUUGCUCAGUCAAUGACAGGAGAAUGGGGAAUGGCUUUAGACUAAAAGAGGAGGGAUUUAGAUUAGAGGUUAGGAGGAAAUUCUUCACUCAGAGGCUGUGAGGCCCUGGCACAGGCUGCCCAGAGAAGCUGUGGAUGCUCCAUCCCUGGAGGUGCCCAAGGCCAGGCUGGAUGGGGCUUUGGGCAACCUGGUGGGAGGUGUCCCUGCCCAUGGCAGGGGGUUGGAGCUGGGUGGGCUUUAAGGUCCCUUCUGACCUGAGCUGUUCUAUGGAACUGUGGCUUUUGGAAACGAUGCAUGGAAUCAGCUACUCUUUAGGAGUGCAAAAAGUAGUAAUUUCCAUAAUAAAAUCUGCGUGAGGGAGGCUGCUUUUAAUCCAAGUUAAUGUCUCUUGAACCAUCUGAUCAAAUAAUUCUUUAAAUCUCCUACCCGUUGUGACAAGCACAUUGAUAAUGCAGCUACUUGCAUUGCUUGGGCAUGUUCCUGCCUUGAAGUAUGUAAUCUGGGGCUGUGGCUUCUCUGCAGAGUGAACUCAGGCCAUGGACUGACAGCGGGGUACAGCUGGCUUUAGGACUCCCUGUACUGAACCGUGCAAAGAUCUGCUCUGCUGUAAGCCUGCUCUCGUUAGGCGUGUGCUCUAUGCAGUUACCCCAGGGUCACUUCCUUGUCUGCGUCUCGGAAGCUCACACAGGGAUUGAGCAUUGCCUCCCUGCCAGCAGGCACCGUGUGCUGCUGUAUGUUCUGACACGGGAUCCCAAAUCCUCAUAGGCUAGUGGGCCGAGUGGCUCUGCCUGUUUGGUGCUGGGUCCCAAAGGUGCAGAUUUCCCUGGGCUGGCAGAUCGCCCUCAUCCUUCCCCCCUGUGGCACACAGGAGGUGCCCAGGGCUCUGUGCAGGUACAGCCGUGCUGCCCCUCCAGGAAAGCAGCGCUGAUGCCAGGGCUGAGCGAAUCUCCAGCUGAAGCUUAAAUGCAUCCCACGUGCAAGAAGCGGUCUCUUUUCCCCCAGAGUCCUCCGUGUGCAUCUUUACAAUUGAUUUGUUCUGGGUCUCGACUUCUGUUCCGAAAGGAGGGGGAGAGGAGGGGGAGAUGGAGAGCCGCAUCCGAAAUCCCUCACAGGUUCCAGCAUUGAUCAGACCCCGUGAAGCACAUUACCGAGGCUGUGAAGGCUGCUGCUUUUGUCCUUAUUUCACCCUGUUCUGUCAGGGUAUUGCAUCACGUAAUAUGCAAAGUGUUCAGAGCUCCUGCAGUACCCCAGUAAUAGGGGUGAACUGAGGUUGCAGCAACAGCUCUACCUCUGCAUUCCUGGUGCGUUCCCUGGGCUUUAGCGCUCCCGCCUCUGCUGCAAACCCUCCUCGGGGUCACUGAGUCCACCAGGCACAACAUGAUACUUGUGGGGUCUGUAAGAAGCAAGCUGGGGCUGGGUGUGGGGGCAGUUCUCCCCAAAGACCCACUUGGAGAGAGCAUUUCAUCUGCUCAAGUGGUGAGGAGGGGAGGCAUCGCUUUCAGGCGUCUCUCUCCUCAGAGCUCUCCCACCCCCCAGCCCAAAAUUAAUGCUCCUGUUUUACAUCUCUGAAUUCACGGCUUGAGGAUGCGGGACUGAAAAUCAGCAAUGCAGUUGUUUGCUCGUGUCAGCCAAGAGGGUCCCCUUCCCUUAGCCUCCAGUGAGGAAUUCUUGCGGAAAGGCAGCUAGCAGAAGGAAAGGCUGAGAGAGAGAGACAGCUGGAAACAAGACCACGAUGUUCAAGGGGCUGAGGGCACCAUUUUGGGCAGAAAUUCCUCUUUCUAGAUGGUGGAGGAGAAGCACUUUCCUCUGCUCCCUUUCUUGUUCCCCUACAUCUCCUUUCUCUGUGUUAAUGUUGCGUUUGAGGUCCUUCGGUCAUCUUUUUGUAGCUCUCCCUCCCUGUGUUAGAGAGAGGUGCUUUUUGAAAGCAUCUGAGCACCCCGUGCUCCUCUUUGCUGGUGAGGAUGUGUGCGUGGCUCUGUUCCCUUCGUGUCCCCACCUUUUAUCCCCCUGCCUUCCUGCACAUGACUGCCUGUAGGAAGCAGCUCUCUGGGUGCUCCUUCCACUCUGGGCAGGGGGUGCGCGUGGGGUCCUGCUCUUCCCCACCACAGCUAAAGCACAUAUAAGGGAAGAAACGUAGCCCAACUGGUAAAGAAACAAACCAGUUUGUGCUUUUGCUCUGUCCCUCCUCCUGCAUCUGGUUUCUAGUAGCAACAAGAGCCUCCAGAGGAGCCGAGCAUCUCCUGUGUCACACAGACACCCGUCUCUGCCCAAGUGCUGUCGUUCUGGCCCACUCUGUGCAGAAACACUUCCAGUACCGGGCUGGGUGUGAGGGGAGGGGAGGGCGUCCCCAUCUCCCCUGCUCAGCUGCAGUUGUGCUGGCAGAGGGACAUGCAGUGGCACAGCUUUUGCCGGGGCUGCUGGGCUGGCAAGUUUGUCUGGUGUAAGCAGGGCUCUGCCCCGGGCUCCUGCUGCAUGCACAGAUCGCUGCUUGCACGCCGAGCGUGGCUGAGUGCUGCUGAAAGGCAGAAUUUCACGUGCCCGCUGCCCUGGGCUCGCUGGAAGCACGUGGGGGAAGGCAGGGGUGGAAGAGAGCGCUUAUUGCUCUGGGCUGGCAUGCGAAGCAUGAAGCUGGUGGCAGCUCCAGGCUCUGCUGGUAUGGGAGGCGAAAGGGAGCCUGUGACUCAGCCGGUGCCCUGCUCUUUCUUGCUCAGCUCGUGUGGAGGGGGAUGGUAAAAAGAAGGGAGUGCUGGAGACACCGCCAGACCUCCCCGAUGGUGCAAGCACCAGAGCGAGCCAUAGCUAGCCAAGAAGCGACAGGCACAGUGAGCCAGGUCAGCUUGUUCCCUGCCUGCGUGCAGGAGCACAGCGCCGGCCUCCUUGUCCUUUCUUCUGCAAACACUCCUAGGGGAUAGGAAGAGCUCUCCUUUGCUCGUGGUUGGUGUGCUGCCUUGUUGUCUCUUUUCUUCUCUCUUCCUCUGAAGCAGCGAGGUACAACACCGAGGUGUUACAUCCCCACCAUGCCAAGGAAGGCAUCCUGUCCCCUUUCACGGUGCAGAUUGCUGGUAGCAGACACUCUGGUGUUCUGACUUAAUUCAAGAAAAAUCCCACUGGUGUGGGGGAUCCUUGCAAAUGUUCUUAGGAUCUUGGGAUUAGGAGAGAAAAGGCUGUAAUGAUUUUUAGGGGUGGGGAGCAAGGGAGGGGAGAAGAAUGCUUUCAUUGCCUGUGGUGUCUGGCACAAGAAAUGUAAUAUGCUGGAGAGCAGAAUGACCUCAUCUCGUCUCUGUAUAUAUUAAAGGAUAAGAUGCUGAAGUCAAAUCAGGACCCGUAGAUUUUUCUCCAGUGAAGCGAGCUGGUUAAUGCAGCAGUACUUAGCAUUCAGGGGCUUAAUUCAGCCUUGGACUUCAGAGAAUACAACUCCUUUCCUUCCUCCCUUCCUUCACCUCCCCUGUAGACAAAAUGUAUCACGCUGCAUGUGGAAUACCUGUCCUGAGGAAGCCAAGAGCACUUAGCUGAAGUACUGGGAAAUGCCAUACUUAGGAUUUCCUGGCAGCCUCUGCUUUUGGUGUGCUUAUGAAGUCUGGGAGCAUCCGAAGUUGCACAUCUGCCCACAUCCUUCUGCUCUUCCCUUCCUCGUUCCGUGGGUGGAGGGAAGGAUGGUGUGUGAAGAGGCGGUUCCCUUUGCUGUCCCCACGUGGUCCUCCUGGAUGCUGUUAUCUCCUCGGGCUGUGGUUCUGUGACCUUUUCUGUCUUCCUGUGGCAAGGCUGGUUUCAGAGGUUCCUACCCUGCUGAAACCAUCAGGAUGUUCGAUUCAGCAAUGCAGCAAUUUCAGCCCGAGAAGCCUCUAUCACCAUCCUGUCACCUCCAAUGGCCGUGCAACUCUUCUGUGAUGUUUGUAUAACACCAGAAGAGGCUGUCAGCAAGCAGGGAGGGUUUUUAUCCCAGUCCAGCACCAUCCUGAGAACCAACUUGCUAACUUGGAGAGAUAGAUGCAUGUUUGCUGCAGGGCUGCAACCGAGUGGCUGCGGCUCCACCUUUCCUCAGAGGGCUGAUAAAACCUAGUGAACCCAUCCCGAGUGUGGUCCAACAAACAGGCUCGUCAGCCUUUGGGAGUGCCCCUUGUGUGCAGGUGGGUGGGGAGAGCAAGAACUCUGUGGGGUGUCCUCGCUGACGUGCAUCGUGCUCUUCUCCUGCCAUGACAUGCGGCUGUGUCAGUGUUCUCACAGGCUUCUCCAUGGCAUUUAACAAAAUAAAGGUGUUGCAAAAAAAAAAAAAAA